This 377-nucleotide ribosomal RNA is filed under the name uncultured eukaryote. RNAcentral describes it as "partial 18S ribosomal RNA". It matches the Rfam family "Eukaryotic small subunit ribosomal RNA", at positions 592 to 976 of the family's 1831-position model. The record is from RNAcentral.
CAAUAGCGUAUAUUAAAGUUGUUGCAGUUAAAAAGCUCGUAGUUGGAUUUCGGGGCAGCCUGGCUGGUCCGCCGCAAGGCGAGUACUGGUCAGCCGCCCUUCCUCUCGAAAGCCCCGACUGCUCUUUAUUGCAGUGGUCGGGUAGUUCGGGACGUUUACUUUGAAAAAAUUAGAGUGUUCAAGGCAGGCCUACGCCUGAAUACAUUAGCAUGGAAUAAUGGAAGAGGACCUCGGUCCUAUUUUGUUGGUUUCCAGGACCGAAGUAAUGAUUAGGAGGGACAGUUGGGGGCAUUCGUAUUUAAUUGUCAGAGGUGAAAUUCUCGGAUUUAUGAAAGACGAACAACUGCGAAAGCAUUUGCCAAGGAUGUUUUCAUUAA